ACGCACGCUGGCGGCAUGCCUCACCCAUGCAAGUCGAACGAGACCUUCGGGUCUAGUGGCGCACGGGUGCGUAACGCGUGGGAACCUGCCCUUAGGUUCGGAAUAACUCCCCGAAAGGGGUGCUAAUACCGGAUAAUGUCUUCGGACCAAAGAUUUAUCGCCUUUGGAUGGGCCCGCGUUGGAUUAGCUAGUUGUUAGGGUAAAAGCCUACCAAGGCGACGAUCCAUAGCUGGUCUGAGAGGAUGAUCAGCCACACUGGGACUGAGACACGGCCCAGACUCCUACGGGAGGCAGCAGUGGGGAAUAUUGGACAAUGGGCGAAAGCCUGAUCCAGCAAUGCCGCGUGAGUGAUGAAGGCCUUAGGGUUGUAAAGCUCUUUUACCCGGGAUGAUAAUGACAGUACCGGGAGAAUAAGCUCCGGCUAACUCCGUG
RNAcentral lists this ribosomal RNA (432 nucleotides) under uncultured bacterium. RNAcentral describes it as "partial 16S ribosomal RNA". It matches the Rfam family "Bacterial small subunit ribosomal RNA", at positions 29 to 507 of the family's 1533-position model. The record is from RNAcentral.